UACGGGGGGGGCAAGCGUUGUUCGGAAUUACUGGGCGUAAAGGGCGCGUAGGCGGCCUGCUAAGUCGGAUGUGAAAUCCCUCGGCUCAACCGAGGAACUGCACCCGAUACUGGUUGGCUAGAGUCCGGGAGGGGGUAGCGGAAUUCCCAGUGUAGCGGUGAAAUGCGUAGAUAUUGGGAAGAACACCGGUGGCGAAGGCGGCUACCUGGACCGGUACUGACGCUGAGGCGCGAAAGCCAGGGGAGCGAAUGGG
This 253-nucleotide ribosomal RNA is filed under the name uncultured bacterium. RNAcentral describes it as "partial 16S ribosomal RNA". It matches the Rfam family "Bacterial small subunit ribosomal RNA", at positions 524 to 776 of the family's 1533-position model. The record is from RNAcentral.